CUUUGACUUUGCUGCUAUUGAGAAGAUCACUGUUGAUGCUGUUAGACAUAAUUUUGUAGCCGUUAAAGUUGAUCACAUGAAACAUGCUGUCUUCUUCGGUAAACAGGUACAAUUAUGUCCGCUUUACUGGAAUUAAACCUCUUUCCCACCCUUUCUUUUCCUGGGCUUGGGAGGUGACUGGAUGUUCCUCUUUUCUGUGCUCCUAUGUUGUUUGUUACUGGAAUUAAACCUCUUUCCUACCCUUUCUUUUCCUGGGCGUUGAGAGGUGACUGUAUGUUCAUCUUUUCUGUGCUCCUAUGUUGUUUGUGAGAUAUCCUGUCCGCUUUAUCAAUUAUCUUUGCUGAGCUACACGAUUUAUUCUCCCUUAUUAUAAAAACUAUUGGAUUAGUUCACUGAUUGACAUCUACUAAGCUUUUUCCUUGUUUUUUAUCUACCUUUUCUGGUAUUUUUACGUCCUCCAAGUUUUUCUACGCAUGAAUGACAAAUCUAGCAUUCCCAGAGGAGAAAGUGAUGAUAUAUCUGGGGACCAAAUUUUGUUGGGCUUCAUCUUUAAGUUUUUGCGCAUUAAAUUAGUGGGCCUCUUCAAGUCUGUCAAACACUCAAGUUAGCAUAACAAAUGAAUAUCUUGCUUGUAGAUCGAAUGUGGGGCUGAAUGGUGUGGGAUAAUUCUGAGGAGUUGUUCGACUGCUGAUGUAGAAUUUUAGCAGUUUAGCUGCUUUGUGUUGGUUCUGGAUUUUGGGUCAUGGGAAUGGUGUCAAGUGAGAAGUUUCCCUCUCGUUCUUUGUUAAAUUUAGCCUUAGACCUCUGGUUUAAUAGAUUGAACAAGUGAUGCAGAACAUUUCUAAGUGUUUUCCUAAAUACUUAUGGAGAAGAACUGCUGUAAUCUUAAUGAAGUUGUUUAUACUAUUCUUGGUGUAUUUCCUUGACAUACUGGCAUAUGCGUAGCAGCUUAGUUUGGAAGGUUAGGGGCUGGAGGGCCAGACAGGUCCUUUUCCUUUGCUUCAGUUUCAACUGUUUAUAUGUUUCAGUUUUGGGAUUGAUUUGUUUUAUAUUCUCAUUUGCCUUGCGUGGAGAUAGAAUUGUAGCAUGAUUUGUCACUCAUCCAUUUAUAUUUUUGUUUCCUGAGUAUUGAGGCGGAAGGACUUCGGGAUCACUUGUCACUUUUUGCUGAAUCCCUUAGCAAG
This 1184-nucleotide long non-coding RNA is filed under the name Nicotiana benthamiana. Its description in RNAcentral is "long non-coding RNA (NBEN_LNC014123)". Lineage: Eukaryota; Viridiplantae; Streptophyta; Magnoliopsida; Solanales; Solanaceae. The record is from RNAcentral.